RNAcentral lists this ribosomal RNA (396 nucleotides) under uncultured bacterium. Its description in RNAcentral is "partial 16S ribosomal RNA". It matches the Rfam family "Bacterial small subunit ribosomal RNA", at positions 523 to 918 of the family's 1533-position model. The record is from RNAcentral.
AUACAGAGGGUGCAAGCGUUAAUCGGAUUUACUGGGCGUAAAGCGCGCGUAGGUGGCUAAUUAAGUCAAAUGUGAAAUCACCGAGCUUAACUUGGGAAUUGCAUUCGAUACUGGUUAGCUAGAGUAUGGGAGAGGAUGGUAGAAUUCCAGGUGUAGCGGUGAAAUGCGUAGAGAUCUGGAGGAAUUCCGAUGGCGAAGGCAGCCAUCUGGCCUAAUACGGACACUGAGGUGCGAAAGCAUGGGGAGCAAACAGGAUUAGAUACCCUGGUAGUCCAUGCCGUAAACGAUGUCUACUAGCCGUUGGGGCCCUUGAGGCUUUAGUGGCGCAGCUAACGCGAUAAGUAGACCGCCUGGGGAGUACGGUCGCAAGACUAAAACUCAAAUGAAUUGACGGGG